This 232-nucleotide ribosomal RNA is filed under the name uncultured Pseudomonadales bacterium. RNAcentral's name for it is "partial 16S ribosomal RNA". It matches the Rfam family "Bacterial small subunit ribosomal RNA", at positions 99 to 334 of the family's 1533-position model. Lineage: Bacteria; Pseudomonadati; Pseudomonadota; Gammaproteobacteria; Pseudomonadales. The record is from RNAcentral.
CGGACGGGUGAGUAAUGCCUAGGAAUCUGCCUGGUAGUGGGGGACAACGUUUCGAAAGGAACGCUAAUACCGCAUACGUCCUACGGGAGAAAGCAGGGGACCUUCGGGCCUUGCGCUAUCAGAUGAGCCUAGGUCGGAUUAGCUAGUUGGUGAGGUAAUGGCUCACCAAGGCGACGAUCCGUAACUGGUCUGAGAGGAUGAUCAGUCACACUGGAACUGAGACGCGGUCCAG